AACUGCAAGAUCAUGACCUGAGCCGAAGUCAUACACUCAGCCGACUGAGCCACCCAGGCGCCCCAAGGGCUGUUGAGCUUUUAAACAGCCUUCGGAGAAAGAGGAGUUUCUAUGAGUGAGAUAUUAUUCUCCCUAUGAUGAAGACACUGCUUACCAAAUACUUGGGAACUUCUUCACAUUUCCAAGUUUUCUGUGGUUAGGUUUGAGCCGUGUGGCUGAUUUUCGUCAAUAGGCCGUGAGCAGAUGUGAGGGGCGCAUGUCCAAGGAGAAGCUCCAAGAGCCAACAUAUGGUUACUCCACUUUAUUAUUUUCUUCUGCCAUGAAACUGUUACGGUCCAGACACAGGUACUUUAUUCAUCCUGUGACCUGUCCUGAAGAUGCGGGCCACAGUUUCAGUGGACUCACAGUGAAAGGACAGCAAGGAACAAAUCACAGAUUUUGGCAUCAAUCGCCAGCAUGGCAUAACUCAGGAGACCAGGUAGAAGCUUGCAAGUCGUCCUAAGGUCAGGCUCUGAAUUGGUACCACGUCACUUCUACUAUACUCUAGUGACCAAAGAAUCCACAGGCCAGCUCGGAUUCAGUAGACAGGGGGAUGCGAGGGGGUGGGGGGUCAGUGUCAAAGAAUUUGUGGCCAUCUUUCAUCUGCCACGAUCUACUCUCUGGCCACCAAUAAGUUCCUCUUGCAUGAAAAAUGCUCAUUCUCUUCCAAGACCACCCACGUCUCAUCCCAUCACGGCACUGGUUCAAAUUCCAAGAGAUUAUCAUCCAGAUCAAGUCCUGGUAUGGGUGAGACUCUUUAGAUGUGAUACAGCUCCUUGAGUAUCUCAUUCCUCUUCAUCUGAAGAUCUACAAAUGAAAGAGCUAAGGCAUCUAUCUCCCAACAUACCCAACAUGCAAUAGAAAGACAGAGACAGGAAGACUAUAGCAGACACUAAAGGGGGGGAUAUGGGGCGCACACAGCAGUUGCUAGUCUAUAGCAAUUCUAAAAUCCAGCCAGAAACGUGUUGCUGGUUCCUUGACUCAAGUCCAGUUUUACUCCCUGGGAAUGAUUUCCCAUGGCUCUUGGCUACAUGCUCUGAGACCAUUCCAUUCCGUGAGAAAUCGAUCAGUUAUGCAACUGACUAGCCUUCUCAGCCUUCUUCCCGUGGAAAGUUGGAGAUCCAUCAUUUCGUGGUCUUUCUGCCCCUUUUACAAGAUGCCAGUACUGACACCAACUUAGUUCUCUUGAAUAUUAUGUGAAUUUCCUCUUAAUCUUUUUAGGCUUCACUCCAUUAGACGAAAACAACACUCAGAGAUGUUUUCGUGACAGGCUCUCUCUGGCUUCAUUUUAGAGUCUGAGUGCUGUGAGACUCUCUUAAGAUGCCUAGUUGAGGGAGACCGUGAGGGAUGCCCACAAAUCUUUCUGAAGAGGCAACAAAAAAAAUCUCAGUCUCAUCCUUGAGAUGAUCUUUGUCCUGAGGCCAUUUCUUGUCUCCAGACCUUUUUACCAUCUCGAGAGACUGGGAUUGAAAACUGGUUUUCGUUUUGAACCUAUGGAUUCUGACUCCCUUGUAUUUUCUCUCAAUUCUUACUGAAUUUGAAAAUUGAAGAGUUCCCUUUUUAAAAAAAAUUUUUUUUUAGGCCCUCUCUGUAUUUUCAUACAUGUAACUCAACAAAAUCAGCUGGCAGCGUUAAUAUUCUUCCUGGGAAUCCCUUAGCCAAAUCUAUAGGUUUCCUAUAUGUUUCCCGUUACCUCAGGUAACAUACUGCUUAUCUUGUCACUGUUAACGAUACACAUCCCCCUUUACUUCAGCCUCGGAUAACCAGCUCCUUACUGAACCCUAAGCUUUCACGAAGACUCCUCGAGAUUCUUCCUGCUGUUGUCUACAGCUCAGUCUGAAGGACGAUGUCACGUAUCUGUGUGUGUGUGUGUUUUAAUGGCAGCACCCUACUCUACAAGUACCAGUUUAUGAUGUCAUCAUUUAUUGGAUUACAAACCGCUUUUAGACUUAGAGGCCUGUAAGAACAAUCAAUUUGUGAUGCCGAUAAUUAUUUGAGUUUGAGAUUCAGUUAGGGCAUAACGGGGACUGUUAUUAUCUGUGUCUACUCUACAAUGCUUGGGACCUCAGUGGGCGAGGCUCAAAUGUCUGGAGAUGGCUAGAAUGGACUGGUCGGGACCCUACGUGGAAAGAUAACUCCCUCUUGGAUUCUUUCUGUCUCUCUUGCUCUGAGGCCAACUGCCCUGUCAUGAAACAGCCCUCCGGAGAGAGAAGCCAUGUCAGAAGAAUACUCAGCAGCCUACGGAGAGUCCCAUAUAGCGAGAAACUGAGGCUUGCUGCCACCGACGUGAGUGAUCUUGGUGGUGGAUAUCUGAGGCCUGCACGCGAGCACACGAGCGAGUCUGGAAGUAGAUUCUCCCUCGGUCAGAUCCUCACAUGACCAGAGCCCUGGCUCACAUCUCAACUGCGACCUCAUGACGGAUGCUGAACCACUCAGCAACUUCUGGAUUCCCGAUUGACGGAAACUGAGAGAAGAUAGUAUCUUAGAUGCGUGUGAGGCAAAACACGUUGUAGUUCGUGGGUUCACGGAUCGACGUCAUGAUUAAAUGGGCCCUUCGGGCCGACUGCCUUCGGGAGAGGAAGAGGGUUUUGUGUGUGUCUGACGUGGAAUGAGGGGAGGUGAAUAUUCAAGAAAACAGGGUGGACUGUGGAACAUAGUCUGCUAUUCACAACAUUUGCUUUUCCUUCCUCUGGGGGAGGAUUAUGCUUCUCCACUCCAUUGACACUGGGUAAAACUGUGCAACGUCCCUCGGCCAAUGAAACAUGAGCAGGAGCGGGGUGCGCCAUUUGGAGCGGGAAUUGGAUAGCCUCCCUGACAUUCUUCACCGUUGUCUUUCUUCCGUGCCAAGAGACGAGGGUUGCUUCCUCAGCCUUGCACCUGGAGUGAAGUAAAUGUACAGUAGCUGACUCAUAAAUGGACACGGAGUCUGAGCCAGAAAUCAAUCUCAGUUGCUGGACGCCAUUGAGAUUCCAAGGUCACUUGUCACCGCAGCAUUGCUUAACCUACGCUGACUCACGCAGUGACCCUCUGGUUCCCUCUUUUUCUGCAGCAACAAUCACAGGACCUGCCUGCCUGCCAUGAGUGGCUGUGUGCCUGUGGGGAGAAGAGCCCAUGGAGGCCUUCAGCAGAGUUGUGACAGGAGCAAUAAACCAACGUUUUCUCUGUUAAACAUCUAAGAUAUGGGAAUUAUGCUUAAAAAAAAAAAAAACUCCAGCAUAAAUAAACCUAUCCUAAUACACACC
This is a long non-coding RNA of Felis catus (domestic cat), 3281 nucleotides long. RefSeq lists it as uncharacterized. The record is from RefSeq and is a predicted model, not a curated record. The transcript is spliced from 2 exons. Lineage: Eukaryota; Metazoa; Chordata; Mammalia; Carnivora; Felidae.